AGACGACGCUGGCGGCGUGCCUAACACAUGCAAGUCGAACGGAGAUACGAUUUCGGUUGUAUCUUAGUGGCGAACGGGUGAGUAACGCGUGAGCAACCUGACUCUUAGAGGGGGAUAACACUGGGAAACGAGUGCUAAUACCGCAUAAGACCACGACAUGGCAUCAUGACGAGGUCAAAGGAGCAAUCCGCUGAGAGAGGGGCUCGCGUCCCAUUAGAUAGAUGGCGGGGUAACGGCCCACCAUGUCAACGAUGGGUAGCCGAGCUGAGAGGCUGAUCGGCCACACUGGAACUGAGACACGGUCCAGACUCCUACGGGAGGCAGCAGUGGGGAAUAUUGGGCAAUGGGCGCAAGCCUGACCCAGCAACGCCGCGUGAGGGAAGAAGGCUUUCGGGUUGUAAACCUCUGUCCUUGGUGACGAAACAAAUGACGGUAGCCAAGGAGGAAGCCCCGGCUAACUACGUGCCAGCAGCAGC
This 476-nucleotide ribosomal RNA is filed under the name uncultured bacterium. RNAcentral describes it as "bacterial SSU rRNA". It matches the Rfam family "Bacterial small subunit ribosomal RNA", at positions 33 to 518 of the family's 1533-position model. The record is from RNAcentral.